This 722-nucleotide ribosomal RNA is filed under the name uncultured Fusobacterium sp. Its description in RNAcentral is "bacterial SSU rRNA". It matches the Rfam family "Bacterial small subunit ribosomal RNA", at positions 28 to 776 of the family's 1533-position model. Lineage: Bacteria; Fusobacteriati; Fusobacteriota; Fusobacteriia; Fusobacteriales; Fusobacteriaceae. The record is from RNAcentral.
GAUGAACGCUGACAGAAUGCUUAACACAUGCAAGUCAACUUGGACUUCGGUUUGGGUGGCGGACGGGUGAGUAACGCGUAAAGAACUUGCCUCACAGAUAGGGACAACAUUUGGAAACGAAUGCUAAUACCUGAUAUUAUGAUUUUAGGGCAUCCUAGAAUUAUGAAAGCUAUAUGCGCUGUGAGAGAGCUUUGCGUCCCAUUAGCUAGUUGGAGAGGUAACGGCUCACCAAGGCGAUGAUGGGUAGCCGGCCUGAGAGGGUGAUCGGCCACAAGGGGACUGGGACACGGCCCUUACUCCUACGGGAGGCAGCAGUGGGGAAUAUUGGACAAUGGACCAAGAGUCUGAUCCAGCAAUUCUGUGUGCACGAUGAAGUUUUUCGGAAUGUAAAGUGCUUUCAGUUGGGAAGAAAAAAAUGACGGUACCAACAGAAGAAGUGACGGCUAAAUACGUGCCAGCAGCCGCGGUAAUACGUAUGUCACAAGCGUUAUCCGGAUUUAUUGGGCGUAAAGCGCGUCUAGGUGGUUAUGUAAGUCUGAUGUGAAAAUGCAGGGCUCAACUCUGUAUUGCGUUGGAAACUGUGUAACUAGAGUACUGGAGAGGUAAGCGGAACUACAAGUGUAGAGGUGAAAUUCGUAGAUAUUUGUAGGAAUGCCGAUGGGGAAGCCAGCUUACUGGACAGAUACUGACGCUGAAGCGCGAAAGCGUGGGUAGCAAACAGG